AUGGCUGGGCCUGCUACGGUUCGAUCCGGCCGACGCCGUCGGGGCCGCCCUCCUGGGAUUCGGGCGGCUGUCAUUGCCCGCGUGCGCCGCGCUGCCGGCCGCAUUUCUUCCGUGGAUUCGUCGUCGACGAUGGCAUUCGCUGGUGGGCGUGGCCGGCCGGCUGAUUCGGGAUGCAGCCUCCGGUCCGGGUCUCGCCGGCCGUUUCGUUCUUCCCGGGCUGAUUCGUGGCGAGAUGUUAAUGUGGACGUUGAUAGUCGUCGUCGGGAGAUUUCAUUAGGGAAGCGGCCUGUGGAUUGUACCGUCGGUGCUGCCGUUGGUGCGUGCUCUUCUUCAGUGGCCGGUGGGUCUGUCCCGGCUGUUUGGCCUGCCAGCGUACGACCUGGUAUUCUGCUUGUCGAAGUGGUUGACAGAACGAGUGCUUCUGUUUCUGAUUUUCCUGCUGGUGUUCAUCUUUAUGGCUCUUUGGUUGGUGAUACGACUUUUCAUUGCCGUCCAAGAGUGGUGCCUUUAUGUGCCGCUGGUAUCUUUGGUCGGCCUACUCCUCUUGUGAUGCCUACUCCUCUUAUGGAGCAUUUUCGUGUUGUGUGUGCACGCCGUAAGCGGAUUUUGGUGCGAUCGUACUGGUCGGGCCGGAAAAGAGUACGUGUGAUGCAACCUCCCUUUUCUAAAGAUAACAUCCAAUUGGUUAAGGCUACUUUUAGAGGUUGUUUGGAUAGGUGGUUUGUAGAAAAUCCGUUCUAUAUAAACUAA
RNAcentral lists this ribosomal RNA (750 nucleotides) under Triticum aestivum (bread wheat). RNAcentral describes it as "partial small subunit ribosomal RNA". The record is from RNAcentral. Lineage: Eukaryota; Viridiplantae; Streptophyta; Magnoliopsida; Poales; Poaceae.